AGUCAGUCUGGGCUCGCGAAACUCAGGUGUGCCAAGCUCGCGCUCAAACAAGAAAAGAAUCAUAACCGGCGCACCAUGAGCAAACAAUAAGCCCACAAAAU
This is a long non-coding RNA of Melitaea cinxia (Glanville fritillary), 101 nucleotides long. RefSeq lists it as uncharacterized. The record is from RefSeq and is a predicted model, not a curated record. The transcript is spliced from 2 exons. NCBI's taxonomy places the organism in Eukaryota, Metazoa, Arthropoda, Insecta, Lepidoptera, Nymphalidae.